UUCGGGGUUAAGUCCCGCAACGAGCGCAACCCUUGUCACUAGUUGCCAUCAUUUGGUUGGGCACUCUAGUGAGACUGCCGGUGACAAACCGGAGGAAGUGGGGAUGACGUCAAGUCCUCAUGGCCCUUAUGGGUAGGGCUUCGCACGUCAUACAAUGGUCGGUACAGAGGGCUGCCAAGCCGCGAGGUGGAGCCAAUCCCUUAAAGCCGAUCGUAGUCCGGAUCGUAGUCUGCAACUCGACUACGUGAAGUCGGAAUCGCUAGUAAUCGCAGAUCAGCAUGCUGCGGUGAAUACGUUCCCGGGUCUU
RNAcentral lists this ribosomal RNA (307 nucleotides) under uncultured Thauera sp. Its description in RNAcentral is "bacterial SSU rRNA". It matches the Rfam family "Bacterial small subunit ribosomal RNA", at positions 1073 to 1382 of the family's 1533-position model. Lineage: Bacteria; Pseudomonadati; Pseudomonadota; Betaproteobacteria; Rhodocyclales; Zoogloeaceae. The record is from RNAcentral.